Alligator sinensis (Chinese alligator) is the source of this 580-nucleotide long non-coding RNA. RefSeq lists it as uncharacterized. NCBI's taxonomy places the organism in Eukaryota, Metazoa, Chordata, Crocodylia, Alligatoridae. The record is from RefSeq and is a predicted model, not a curated record. The transcript has 3 exons.
CAGCAUGGUGGAGUGCAGCUCCUGCAACUCCCUGCAGGAGGUGACUGGCUUCCUGGCAGUAAGAAAAGGAUGGAUAUGGUGUGAUGCGACAGCACGUGAAAAAUGUGAGGCCUGCAACAAUGCCCUUGUGUUAAAUUGGGUGGUUUGAAGGCUGAGGAGGAAGGAGGCUAGAACAGAACAGUCAGACUACUACAAGAUCCUCUCAUGGCUGAGACACUGACAGAGAAGUGGCUACCACAGGAAUAACAACUGCUUUGCAUCCUUCAGAGCAACGGUGAAAGGCAACUAUUGAGGCUCUUGGCCUCUCCUUGCAGAAGAUGGUGAAGAAAACCCUAUAAGCCAAGCACAUGGGGCACAUACCCCAAGAGUGCAGACCAACAUACCACUUGAACCAUUUCCAGAAUGUCACUGAUUGGGAAAUGGUCCACAAUUGACAUAGGUCAGAGAUGUCCACUCUUAACAUUGCCAAGGGUCCAAGAAGAAGGGUCAUCUUUAGGCACUGGAGUCUCCUGGUUGUGAUCCUCUGGAGUUUCCCCACAAUUCCCUAAGCAAAAGAGGAAGACCCCAAUUGGCUGAACAC